This is a non-coding RNA of Drosophila melanogaster (fruit fly), 626 nucleotides long. The record is from Ensembl. Lineage: Eukaryota; Metazoa; Arthropoda; Insecta; Diptera; Drosophilidae.
CCAUUCGCCGCUCGCUGGUCGGGUGGUGCAGAUGGGUGAUGUACUUCCCUUUGCCAGUGUGCGUGCGUAUCUGUGUGGUGGUAGCGGACUCGUGUGUGGCAUAUGCAUCGCUCCACAAUCGCAUCAUUUUGAGCAAUUAAGUGUGUAUUAUCCGUCGCUGCGUCUGUCAAAGGGCCUUGAAAGCAACUUCAAAACCGAAUCCAGUCGCGGCUCGCAGUUGCUCCUGUUCCUGUUCCGCCACCGGAAGUACAUUGAAUGUGCCAGUGUGUAUGUGUGUGUAUCGGUAUAUGCGGCACACAGCAAACAAAUCAGUCUGCGAAUUUCAAAGUGAUCUAUGGCUUCCUACCUCUCGUCAAAUCCGCGCUUUUCAUGCGCAAAUUGUGCAUUUAAGUCCACAAUGGCGAACCAACAAAAGCAAGGGAAUGGGAUGCGGAGUGCUCGUUAUGUGGGAUAUGCGGAAUAUGCGAUCUGGGAUAUAGGAUACGUUGUGCACUCCUGUUGGGAUGCAAGUCCCCCUUGUGUUGCCUACUUUCACUUUUGUUCGGUGCUCAACUAACUGAAGGCGGACGGGAGGCGUUUUGCUGUCAAGUCUACGAGUUGGGAACCUCCUGCAAAGAUUGGUAGGG